RNAcentral lists this ribosomal RNA (245 nucleotides) under uncultured bacterium. RNAcentral's name for it is "partial 16S ribosomal RNA". It matches the Rfam family "Bacterial small subunit ribosomal RNA", at positions 524 to 768 of the family's 1533-position model. The record is from RNAcentral.
AACGUAGGUGACGAGCGUUAUCCGGAUUUACUGGGCGUAAAGCGUGUGCAGGCGGAUGUGUAAGUGGUGUAUGAAAGCUCCAGGCUUAACCUGGAGAGGUUAUGCCAGACUGCACGUCUGGAGGGAGUAAGAGGGACAUGGAAUUCCGGGUGUAGUGGUGAAAUGCGUAGAGAUCCGGAGGAACUCCAGAGGCGAAGGCGGUGUCCUGGUACUCACCUGACGCUCAGACACGAAAGCAUGGGGAG